GAGUUUGAUCGUGGCUCAGAUUGAACGCUGGCGGCAUGCCUUACACAUGCAAGUCGAACGGCAGCACGGGAGCUUGCUCCUGGUGGCGAGUGGCGAACGGGUGAGUAAUGCAUCGGAACGUAUCCUGGAGUGGGGGAUAACGUAGCGAAGGUUACGCUAAUACCGCAUAUUCUGUGAGCAGGAAAGCGGGGGACCUUCGGGCCUCGCGCUCUUGGAGCGGCCGAUGUCGGAUUAGCUAGUUGGUGAGGUAAAGGCUCACCAAGGCGACGAUCCGUAGCAGGUCUGAGAGGAUGAUCUGCCACACUGGAACUGAGACACGGUCCAGACUCCUACGGGAGGCAGCAGUGGGGAAUUUUGGACAAUGGGGGCAACCCUGAUCCAGCCAUGCCGCGUGAGUGAAGAAGGCCUCGGUGUAA
Molecule: ribosomal RNA, 416 nt
Filed under: bacterium enrichment culture clone ALO1_GLFRUDD03F4NHL
Lineage: Bacteria
Description: bacterial SSU rRNA
Rfam family: Bacterial small subunit ribosomal RNA
Source: RNAcentral